This is a long non-coding RNA of Mauremys reevesii (Reeves's turtle), 322 nucleotides long. RefSeq lists it as uncharacterized. NCBI's taxonomy places the organism in Eukaryota, Metazoa, Chordata, Testudines, Geoemydidae. The transcript is spliced from 3 exons. The record is from RefSeq and is a predicted model, not a curated record.
CACAGGUUGGAAAGGCUAAUUAACAUACCUGCCUGCCUAUUUUGGCCAUCUUUAAUUUUCCUUGCAGAGCAUGUAUUCAAAUGGAGUAAGGAACAUGACAUUUAAUUGGAUAAAAGAAACAUCUUGACUGUUAUUUGCUGUCAGAGUCUGGCUGAGAAGAGCAAGACAGCACUAGAGGAAAUGGCUGGAAAACCUUUGGGUGAAGAUCAUACAAGUGAAUAUAUAAUAUUGUUCCUCUGAGGAAGCGACAUUCAAAACACCACCUAGAAUUAAUGACACAAGAAAGCUGAACAAACCAGAAAAAAUAGCUCCGGAACCUCAC